AGCCACUCUGGCAAUGGGUAAAGAGACAAUUUGAUCAUGGUGCUGCUCUAAUAUCAGCCAGAGACAGAGCAGAUGGGAAUCCUUUGUUCAUCCUAGCCUGAUGCCCAGUUUGUUAUCCAAAGCUGUUUGAUGACCAGGACACAUAA
Small nucleolar RNA from Rattus norvegicus (Norway rat), 146 nucleotides. Ensembl annotates it as small nucleolar RNA SNORA48. Lineage: Eukaryota; Metazoa; Chordata; Mammalia; Rodentia; Muridae. The record is from Ensembl.